AUGCUCACUUCAGCAGUACAUAUACUAAAAUUGGAAAGAUACAGAGAUUAGCAUGGCUCCUGUACAAGGAUGACAUGCAAAACUCCAGGUGUAGAUGAUUUCACU
Non-coding RNA from Canis lupus familiaris (dog), 105 nucleotides. Lineage: Eukaryota; Metazoa; Chordata; Mammalia; Carnivora; Canidae. The record is from Rfam.